This 3463-nucleotide long non-coding RNA is filed under the name Phoenix dactylifera (date palm). RNAcentral's name for it is "long non-coding RNA (PDAC_LNC012431)". Lineage: Eukaryota; Viridiplantae; Streptophyta; Magnoliopsida; Arecales; Arecaceae. The record is from RNAcentral.
AAGUUUUACAACUUUAUAAUAUAAUGAUUGCAUGGUUAGAAUGCCUUCAUGAUAUGACCCGUUCAUCCUUAUCCAUCCAAACAAGGAAUCCAAAUCCAUGUAUUGCCAUUUUAUUUCAUAAUUUACUUGCCUAAUCAUAAACUCUUGUUAAUAAAGAACAUUAACAUGCUACUUAAAUUGCAAAGUUUCCAUUUGGUUCUGGGAAGUGGAAACAAAUUAAGAGAGAGAGAGAAAGAAAGAACGGUUGGUAGGCAGGUGAAGAGAAAGCUAAAAGGAAAAGCAUGAUACUUGUAGCAUGAAAGCACGAGAGGUUCAAUUCUAUUUCCUAUUUUAUCUCUUCCUAUACAUUUUUCUCCCUCACAUUACUUCGUAUGCCCAUUACUCAGAUGUUAAAUAAUUUUUUUGCCCUCUAUUAUUAUCCAAGAGGGAAAGUAAAAGUGUUUCAGGGUUUCACAAGAGAAGAUAAGUCUGAAUCCAAAAGCGCUUCCAUCCGAAUUUGAAAGUACUCUCUCCCAUCACUUCAUAUGCCCUUUACUCAUCAUUAUUGUAUUGUUCACAAUCUGUAUCCUAUGAUCCAGUUAAAAAUAUACUGAAACAAUCGGAAGAAGAUAAAUAGAACAGCAAAACAUAGAUCGGAAUCCAAUUUAGGAUUGUGCAAUCCCAUGGAUAGUCAAAUCAUGAACAAUGGAUAGUCUAAUCCACUUAAUAAAGGCCAAGGGGCCCUUUUCAUGCAUGGAAGCAAUCCAUGCCACUCUUUUGGGUGCACGAACAAUGGGGCACCCUUGUUUCCAUAUGCAUAGGACCGGUCACCUUACAAUUAAUUUUUUUUAAAAAGUCUCAACUAAAAAUAAUAUUUUAUUCCCUCCACUUCAUAUGCCCUUUCCUUUAAUAUUAGACAAUAUCUUAGCCCUAUGUUGCCCUCCAAGAGGGGAAAGAAAAAUAGUUUUGGAGGUUUUCUAGGAGAAGAAUCUAAUCCAAAUCUAAAAGCUCUUCCAUCCAAAUCUGAAAGUCCUCCUCCCCAUGUGCUUCUACAUGGAUGGAGAACCGAAAUUAAGCGCUUAGUGCAAUAUAUUAUUUGACCUAUAUUCUAAUUUUGGGUGCAAAACCUAAGUACCUUAGAACCUUUAACAUUAUGCUUGUGCUAGAUUUUUGCUAGAUAGUUUUGAUCAUAGUUUUCUUGUGAUUUCUAGAUCUUUUUUCCCUCAUUUUUCGUUUGCUCUUAUGAUUUGUAAUUGUUCAAAUAUGCUAAGAAGGAAGAAGAAUAGUGGUGGUACUAUAGCUAUUUAGAUGGUAUACAUUGUUUUUCAUCUUUUAUAUUAUAUCUGUUCUUUUUUUUUCUUAAAUUUUUUUUUAAGAAAUUGCAAUCUAUGAUCAAUCCAACCCCAACCGUUCUACAAUUUACAAUACAAUCAUGAUAUUUACAGCAUUGCUACUUGUUCCCUACAAUAUAUAUUUGAGAUCUACAUUAUUAAGGACCACAUCUUUGCAAAUAUCAAUUACAGUUAUCAAUUCUCUUUAUCAAAUCUUGUGCAAAAGUCAAGUUAACUAGGAGCCCAUGACAUGUAUGUUAGCCAUUAUAUUGACUAAAGUUCAUAAUGCAUAUCAAAUUUAUAGCUAAACUUUUAAUACAUAAUAUGCAAGUUCAAAAGAUCAUAAUCAGAUAAUCAAAAUUGUUUAAACAGAAUUAUAUAUCAUUAAUUGGAUACCUUUCUCCCGUUUUCCUAAACCACCCAAUCCAAAUACGUCAUCACACUGCAACCAAAACCUAAUGGAAAACAAUCAAUAGUUAGAGGAAGAAAACUUUAAGAGAAUGAUGCAUGAAAUAAAAAAAUCAGAGAGUUAAAACUUAUUCAUAAAUAACCGUAUUGAGAUGCUAACAUAGAUAUGAAGGAACUAUUAAGUUUCAGCAAUUACAAAUCUAAAAGCAUAAUUAAUGACUUUGUAUCAUUUUCAGUGCAAAACCAACCCUGACUAUUAAGAUUGAUAUUUCCCCCAUUACUCAACCAAUAUAUGCUAUUGGACUGAAAUUAUCUUAAUCAUUGAGAUCCAGCGAACACAUAAACUGUGUUUUAGUGGAUUUUAUGCGCAAUUGGUUUUAUUAUACCAUGUAUUCUCACAGCAGCAUGACACAAUUAUGUGGAAGGAAAUCUCGACCAUCUUGAUUAGAGAACAAAUUUUCCAUUUUUCUAGAUGGCAUUCACUGCCUUUUGGGAACACAUGGGAAAUCGAUUCAUUUUCAUUUCCUCAGGCUAAAAAAUCAGUUUAUAUAACUUUACCAGAUCUUAAUAAUAAUAAUAAUAAUAAUAAUUAAUCAUAAUAACAAUAUACAGAACAACUAGCAGGAAGCAAGGCGUGACGUACCGAUCUUCAAGUUCACAUAUCAGUACCUUACAUGAUUUUGUAUCGUACCAACAUGUAGCAUAUCUCUUAGUGCCGGGACAGAAAAAUAGAGAUGAAAUAUUGAUGUCUUAAAAUGGGUACGGGUACCUAACCAGCUGGAUGACCAAAUAUGUAUCGAUAUGCAGCAGAUAUAAAUCUUUGACAGAAAGCAGGAAUUUCAGAGAAUAAUAUAAUUUUGUCCGUCAGUGGAAAUACCAAAUGAGUCUAGAUAUCAGUUCAUUAUAACUUGUAUGGAGGCUGAAGAAUAUUUGAACUGUUCUAAAAUAUCAGGCAUCUCAUUUCAUACAUAUCGACAAAGAUUUCAAAUAUCAGCAAUAUAAUAUGGACAGAGUAAACUAAGUUUAUCCAACGAUUCUGCCAUACAAAAAAGGUAAUAAAAAAUCUCAUAAUAAAUCUGAGAACAAGAACUUAGGUCCAUAAACUUAUAUCAUAUCGGUCUAUGUUAUUAGCGGAAAUAUCAUAAUACAUCUGAGAACAACAACUUAGUUCCAUAAUAAUAUCAUCCAAACAGGUGCCAUGAAAAUCAACCUAAGAAGACAGUGAGAAAUAUUUUUCGUCGCUGCUUCUCUCUCUUUUUUCAACCCAUAGUAAUAUUUUUCAACCGAAAUCUCAUAUAGGCUUCUGAGGUUUCAGAUAUCACGUUAGAAUUUCUUGUGUCACCUCAGGGGAGUGGUAUCAGAGUGUCUCUAAAGGUGGAAACAAGAGAAUAAACAAAUCAACGAGAGGGUUAAGAGAACUCUUUUACCUUGGAUUGAGAGCGGAACCGCAUCCUGGAGGUCUCCAGCAAUGGGACAAGAGAGGAAGGUUUUGGAAGGAGAGCCGCCGGAGAGAAUCCAUGCUUAAGGGUUGAAGCAUAGAACGGAAAGGACGAGGAGGGCGGUCGGCGUUGCUCCGUUCCCCCAAGCCAGGCGGCGACGAGAUCGGGAUUUGAAGGGGGAGAAAGGAAGGAGGGCGAAAGAUAGAGAGAGAGAGAGAGAGAGAGAGAAGAGAGACGAGGCUGCCGGUCUCCUGCGUUGGUACCGAGCGCCGCUACUCUGAGCCGCGGCCUGCGAGGGUGGCGCUU